RNAcentral lists this ribosomal RNA (430 nucleotides) under uncultured bacterium. RNAcentral's name for it is "bacterial SSU rRNA". It matches the Rfam family "Bacterial small subunit ribosomal RNA", at positions 92 to 518 of the family's 1533-position model. The record is from RNAcentral.
CGACCGGCGCACGGGUGAGUAACACGUAUCCAACCUGCCGCUUACUCGGGGAUAGCCUUUCGAAAGAAAGAUUAAUACCCGAUGGUAUAAAGAGUUCGCAUGUUCUCUUUAGUAAAGAAUUUCGGUAAGCGAUGGGGAUGCGUUCCAUUAGAUAGUUGGCGGGGUAACGGCCCACCAAGUCUACGAUGGAUAGGGGGUUCUGAGACGGAAGGUCCCCCACAUUGGAACUGAGACACGGUCCAAACUCCUACGGGAGGCAGCAGUGAGGAAUAUUGGUCAAUGGACGAGAGUCUGAACCAGCCAAGUAAGCGUGAAGGAUGACUGCCCUAUGGGUUGUAAACUUCUUUUAUAAGGGAAUAAAGUGAGGGACGUGUCCCUUUUUGUAUGUACCUUAUGAAUAAGGAUCGGCUAACUCCGUGCCAGCCGCUGC